This 460-nucleotide ribosomal RNA is filed under the name uncultured bacterium. RNAcentral's name for it is "partial 16S ribosomal RNA". It matches the Rfam family "Bacterial small subunit ribosomal RNA", at positions 338 to 795 of the family's 1533-position model. The record is from RNAcentral.
CCUACGGGAGGCAGCAGUGAGGAAUAUUGGUCAAUGGCCGGAAGGCUGAACCAGCCAUGCCGCGUGAAGGUCAGUGCCCUCUGGGCGUUAAACUUCUUUUGUGCGGGAGCAAUAAUGGUCACGUGUGGCCAGACGAGAGUACCGUACGAAUAAGCAUCGGCUAACUCCGUGCCAGCAGCCGCGGUAAUACGGGGGAUGCAAGCGUUAUCCGGAGUUAUUGGGUUUAAAGGGUGCGUAGGCCGUGAGGUAAGUCAGCGGGGAAAUGCCCCCGCUCAACGGGGUGAAGUGCCAUUGAUACUGCCUUGCUGGAAUGCGGAUGCCGUGGGAGGAAUGUGUGGUGUAGCGGUGAAAUGCAUAGAUAUCACACAGAACACCGAUUGCGAAGGCAUCUCACGAAUCCGCGAUUGACGCUGAGGCACGAAAGCGUGGGUAUCAAACAGGAUUAGAUACCCCUGUAGUC